GCCCAAAAUCACUCACAAAUCUAUUUUCGUUUAAGAGUGAGAAAACUAAUUACCACCUUCGGGAUGUCUCAAGUGGUCUUUAUUUACCAAAACCACGUACAAAUAGCAUGAAAAAUAGUUUUAUGUACGACGGAGCAAACAUUUGGAAUUCUAUACCAAAAGAAAUUAGGGAAAGCAAGUCACUUUCUUCCUUUCGAAAUAAAAUCGCUGCUCGCAUUAGUGCUUGGUAACCUUUGUAAAUAUAACUUACCUGUAAAUAGCUCAAAACAUUUGUUAUAUCUUUUAAAUUUAUAUAUUACUGUAAUAGCUUAGCUUAUCC
Paramuricea clavata is the source of this 319-nucleotide non-coding RNA. The record is from the annotation of a GenBank genome assembly. NCBI's taxonomy places the organism in Eukaryota, Metazoa, Cnidaria, Anthozoa, Malacalcyonacea, Plexauridae.